GCCUCGGUGGCAUAGUGGUAUUGCGUCGCCUUGGUAAGGCGAAGGUCGCGGGUUCAAUCCCCGCCCGAGGCU
RNAcentral lists this transfer RNA (72 nucleotides) under Methanomicrobiales archaeon. RNAcentral describes it as "tRNA-Thr". It matches the Rfam family "tRNA". From Rfam's summary of the family: Transfer RNA (tRNA) molecules are approximately 80 nucleotides in length. Lineage: Archaea; Methanobacteriati; Methanobacteriota; Methanomicrobia; Methanomicrobiales. The record is from RNAcentral.